AAUAAGAGAAUGACAAAUCAAAUUUUUCCUCUUUAUUUUCAGUUUUUUUCUCCUUAAAACAUUUAAAUCCAACUAAAAAUGCUAAAAAUUAAAAGGAAAAACCUGAUUUGUCAUUCUCCUAUU
This is a non-coding RNA of Gossypium arboreum, 123 nucleotides long. Lineage: Eukaryota; Viridiplantae; Streptophyta; Magnoliopsida; Malvales; Malvaceae. The record is from Rfam.